RNAcentral lists this ribosomal RNA (367 nucleotides) under uncultured phototrophic eukaryote. Its description in RNAcentral is "SSU rRNA". It matches the Rfam family "Bacterial small subunit ribosomal RNA", at positions 524 to 896 of the family's 1533-position model. The record is from RNAcentral.
UACGGGGGAUGCAAGCGUUAUCCGGAAUCAUUGGGCGUAAAGCGUCUGUAGGUUGUUUAAUAAGUCUGUUGUUAAAGACUGGGGCUUAACCCCAGGAAAGCAAUGGAAACUGUUAGACUUGAGUAUGGUAGAGGUAGAGGGAAUUCCUAGUGUAGCGGUGAAAUGCGUAGAUAUUAGGAAGAACACCGGUGGCGAAAGCGCUCUACUGGGCCAUUACUGACACUCAGAGACGAAAGCUAGGGUAGCAAAUGGGAUUAGAUACCCCGGUAGUCCUAGCCGUAAACGAUGGAUACUAGACGUUGCCUUUUUAACAGUGUCGUAGCUAACGCGUUAAGUAUCCCGCCUGGGGAGUACACUCGCAAGGGUG